AUCAACUUUCGAUGGUAGGAUAGAGGCCUACCAUGGUGGUAACGGGUAACGGGGUGUUAGGGCACGACACCGGAGAGGGAGCCUGAGAAACGGCUACCACAUCCAAGGAUGGCAGCAGGCGCGCAAAUUACCCAAUCCCGACACGGGGAGGUAGUGACAAUAAAUAACAAUACGGGGUUCUUUCGGAUCUCGUAAUUGGAAUGAGUACAAUUUAAAUCUCUUAACGAGGAACAAUUGGAGGGCAAGUCUGGUGCCAGCAGCCGCGGUAAUUCCAGCUCCAAUAGCGUAUAUUAAAGUUGUUGCAGUUAAAAAGCUCGUAGUUGAAUUUCGGGAUCAGAUUGUCGGUCGUGCCUCGGUACGCACUGGCAUUAUUGGUUCCUACCUUCUGAAGAACCGCGAUGUCAUUAAUUUGGCGUCGUGGGGAAUCAGGACUGUUACUUUGAAAAAAUUAGAGUGUUUAAAGCAGGCGCACGCUUGAAUACAUUAGCAUGGAAUAAUGAAAUAGGACGUUUGAUUCUAUUUUGUUGGUUUCUAGGAUCGACGUAAUGAUUAAUAGGGAUAGUUGGGGGCAUUAGUAUUCAAUUGUCAGAGGUGAAAUUCUUGGAUUUAUUGAAGACUAACUACUGCGAAAGCAUUUGCCAAGGAUGUUUUCAUUAAUCAAGAACGAAAGUUAGGGGAUCGAAGACGAUCAGAUACCGUCGUAGUCUUAACCAUAAACUAUGCCGACUAGGGAUCGGAUGAUGUUAAUUUUUUAAUGACUCAUUCGGCGCCUUACGGGAAACCAAAGUGUUUGGGUUC
RNAcentral lists this ribosomal RNA (798 nucleotides) under uncultured Glomus. RNAcentral describes it as "SSU rRNA". It matches the Rfam family "Eukaryotic small subunit ribosomal RNA", at positions 314 to 1114 of the family's 1831-position model. The record is from RNAcentral. Lineage: Eukaryota; Fungi; Glomeromycota; Glomeromycetes; Glomerales; Glomeraceae.